Molecule: transfer RNA, 66 nt
Filed under: Pristolycus sp. FM14
Lineage: Eukaryota; Metazoa; Arthropoda; Insecta; Coleoptera; Lampyridae
Description: tRNA-Arg
Source: RNAcentral
AAAUAAGAAACAAAAUAUUGUAAUUAGUUUCGACCUAAUUUUUUGAUGAUUUUUCAUCCUUAUUUA